RNAcentral lists this ribosomal RNA (1531 nucleotides) under Salmonella enterica subsp. enterica. RNAcentral describes it as "bacterial SSU rRNA". It matches the Rfam family "Bacterial small subunit ribosomal RNA". Lineage: Bacteria; Pseudomonadati; Pseudomonadota; Gammaproteobacteria; Enterobacterales; Enterobacteriaceae. RNAcentral also lists the same sequence under 1 other name. The record is from RNAcentral.
AAAUUGAAGAGUUUGAUCAUGGCUCAGAUUGAACGCUGGCGGCAGGCCUAACACAUGCAAGUCGAACGGUAACAGGAAGCAGCUUGCUGCUUUGCUGACGAGUGGCGGACGGGUGAGUAAUGUCUGGGAAACUGCCUGAUGGAGGGGGAUAACUACUGGAAACGGUGGCUAAUACCGCAUAACGUCGCAAGACCAAAGAGGGGGACCUUCGGGCCUCUUGCCAUCAGAUGUGCCCAGAUGGGAUUAGCUUGUUGGUGAGGUAACGGCUCACCAAGGCGACGAUCCCUAGCUGGUCUGAGAGGAUGACCAGCCACACUGGAACUGAGACACGGUCCAGACUCCUACGGGAGGCAGCAGUGGGGAAUAUUGCACAAUGGGCGCAAGCCUGAUGCAGCCAUGCCGCGUGUAUGAAGAAGGCCUUCGGGUUGUAAAGUACUUUCAGCGGGGAGGAAGGUGUUGUGGUUAAUAACCACAGCAAUUGACGUUACCCGCAGAAGAAGCACCGGCUAACUCCGUGCCAGCAGCCGCGGUAAUACGGAGGGUGCAAGCGUUAAUCGGAAUUACUGGGCGUAAAGCGCACGCAGGCGGUCUGUCAAGUCGGAUGUGAAAUCCCCGGGCUCAACCUGGGAACUGCAUUCGAAACUGGCAGGCUUGAGUCUUGUAGAGGGGGGUAGAAUUCCAGGUGUAGCGGUGAAAUGCGUAGAGAUCUGGAGGAAUACCGGUGGCGAAGGCGGCCCCCUGGACAAAGACUGACGCUCAGGUGCGAAAGCGUGGGGAGCAAACAGGAUUAGAUACCCUGGUAGUCCACGCCGUAAACGAUGUCUACUUGGAGGUUGUGCCCUUGAGGCGUGGCUUCCGGAGCUAACGCGUUAAGUAGACCGCCUGGGGAGUACGGCCGCAAGGUUAAAACUCAAAUGAAUUGACGGGGGCCCGCACAAGCGGUGGAGCAUGUGGUUUAAUUCGAUGCAACGCGAAGAACCUUACCUGGUCUUGACAUCCACGGAAGUUUUCAGAGAUGAGAAUGUGCCUUCGGGAACCGUGAGACAGGUGCUGCAUGGCUGUCGUCAGCUCGUGUUGUGAAAUGUUGGGUUAAGUCCCGCAACGAGCGCAACCCUUAUCCUUUGUUGCCAGCGAUUAGGUCGGGAACUCAAAGGAGACUGCCAGUGAUAAACUGGAGGAAGGUGGGGAUGACGUCAAGUCAUCAUGGCCCUUACGACCAGGGCUACACACGUGCUACAAUGGCGCAUACAAAGAGAAGCGACCUCGCGAGAGCAAGCGGACCUCAUAAAGUGCGUCGUAGUCCGGAUUGGAGUCUGCAACUCGACUCCAUGAAGUCGGAAUCGCUAGUAAUCGUGGAUCAGAAUGCCACGGUGAAUACGUUCCCGGGCCUUGUACACACCGCCCGUCACACCAUGGGAGUGGGUUGCAAAAGAAGUAGGUAGCUUAACCUUCGGGAGGGCGCUUACCACUUUGUGAUUCAUGACUGGGGUGAAGUCGUAACAAGGUAACCGUAGGGGAACCUGCGGUUGGA